GGGGGGCGCUAUACUGCAAGUCGAACGCUUCUUUUUCCACCGGAGCUUGCUCCACCGGAAAAAGAGGAGUGGCGAACGGGUGAGUAACACGUGGGUAACCUGCCCAUCAGAAGGGGAUAACACUUGGAAACAGGUGCUAAUACCGUAUAACAAUCAAAACCGCAUGGUUUUGAUUUGAAAGGCGCUUUCGGGUGUCGCUGAUGGAUGGACCCGCGGUGCAUUAGCUAGUUGGUGAGGUAACGGCUCACCAAGGCCACGAUGCAUAGCCGACCUGAGAGGGUGAUCGGCCACAUUGGGACUGAGACACGGCCCAAACUCCUACGGGAGGCAGCAGUAGGGAAUCUUCGGCAAUGGACGAAAGUCUGACCGAGCAACGCCGCGUGAGUGAAGAAGGUUUUCGGAUCGUAAAACUCUGUUGUUAGAGAAGAACAAGGAUGAGAGUAACUGUUCAUCCCUUGACGGUAUCUAACCAGAAAGCCACGGCUAACUACGUGCCAGCAGCCGCGGUAAUACGUAGGUGGCAAGCGUUGUCCGGAUUUAUUGGGCGUAAAGCGAGCGCAGGCGGUUUCUUAAGUCUGAUGUGAAAGCCCCCGGCUCAACCGGGGAGGGUCAUUGGAAACUGGGAGACUUGAGUGCAGAAGAGGAGAGUGGAAUUCCAUGUGUAGCGGUGAAAUGCGUAGAUAUAUGGAGGAACACCAGUGGCGAAGGCGGCUCUCUGGUCUGUAACUGACGCUGAGGCUCGAAAGCGUGGGGAGCAAACAGGAUUAGAUACCCUGGUAGUCCACGCCGUAAACGAUGAGUGCUAAGUGUUGGAGGGUUUCCGCCCUUCAGUGCUGCAGCUAACGCAUUAAGCACUCCGCCUGGGGAGUACGACCGCAAGGUUGAAACUCAAAGGAAUUGACGGGGGCCCGCACAAGCGGUGGAGCAUGUGGUUUAAUUCGAAGCAACGCGAAGAACCUUACCAGGUCUUGACUCCUUUGACCCUCUAGAGAUAGAGCUUCCCCUUCGGGGGCAAAGUGACAGGUGGUGCAUGGUUGCCGUCAACUCGGGCGGGAAUGUGGGUAAGUCC
RNAcentral lists this ribosomal RNA (1069 nucleotides) under Enterococcus sp. Its description in RNAcentral is "bacterial SSU rRNA". It matches the Rfam family "Bacterial small subunit ribosomal RNA", at positions 41 to 1087 of the family's 1533-position model. Lineage: Bacteria; Bacillati; Bacillota; Bacilli; Lactobacillales; Enterococcaceae. The record is from RNAcentral.